UACGUAGGGUGCAGGCGUUAAUCGGAAUUACUGGGCGUAAAGCGUGCGCAGGCGGUUUGCUAAGACAGGUGUGAAAGCCCCGGGCUUAACCUGGGAAUGGCGUUUGAAACUACGGAGCUGGAGUAUGGCAGAGGGGGGUGGAAUUCCACGUGUAGCGGUGAAAUGCGUAGAUAUGUGGAGGAACACCAAUGGCGAAGGCAGCCCCCUGGGCCAACACUGACGCUCAUGCACGAAAGCGUGGGGAGCAAACAGG
This 253-nucleotide ribosomal RNA is filed under the name uncultured bacterium. Its description in RNAcentral is "partial 16S ribosomal RNA". It matches the Rfam family "Bacterial small subunit ribosomal RNA", at positions 524 to 776 of the family's 1533-position model. The record is from RNAcentral.